UUUUUUCAAUUAUCCCCGUAGAUCCCAGAUCUUGAACCCUCCCUCCCAAAUCUUGAACCCUCCUUUUUUUUUUUCCUCUUAGACCCCAAAUCCCCCUCUCUUUCUUUCCCUAUUUCUUUCCCCGUUGACCCCAAAUCCUGUCUUACCUCUUGGGUUGUCGAACCCAGACCUUGAACCCAAACAACAGGCCACCACGGGAAUCUCGAAGCCGACGCGAAUCAAGUCCCAAAAUCAAGGAUAAGUCUUUCAUAUAUCUAGCUGGCCUCCUACAGAUGUCGAAGUUGAUUACUCGUCGUCGGACUGUGACCAAUGCGCCUCCCACAUUAUCAGCAUCUACUGCUCCAGCCGUGAGUGCUCCAUUGAUUGGGGAGCCUACACCCAAUGUUGAGGCUACUUCUACGGUGUCCCAAGUGCCCGUCUCAUCGACGUCAUCAGUGUCCGUUGAGUUGCUCAGUGCACGGCGGCCUCACCGACGCUGCCGGGACCCAGAGCCUUCUGAUCAGACUUCCUCGGCAUCCAAAGUUGAGGGUGAGGCCUUCCAGCCACCAGCUAAAAAAAACACCAGGGGACCCAAUCGAAUGUUGAAGGAGCUACAGCUUGUACGUAUGUCUGCCUUCUUGAUCAAGAUUGCGUAUGAUGAGCGACAUCGUGGAGUGGUUACCUCACAGCAGCAUAACAGCGUCGUUAAUUGCUGUGGUUUUAUUAUUAGGAAUUUUUGUCCUAUGCAGUGGGAGAGUUGGGCAAAAAUUCCCGAGGAGACAAGGACCCUGGUGCGAGACAAUUUGGAGGUCGUUUUUGAAAUGGAGGACAUAUCCCCUGAGGUCAGUGCCUACUUAGAGGAAACCUUAGCAAGCCGGUACAAAGAUUGGAAGAGCGUUCUUCACAAGCAUUUUCAGCUAUGGGAAUCUCCGGAGAUUGCUCGCCUACAGGGUUGCCCACUCAGCUAUGGAUGAAGUUAAUAAUAAUUUAUUGUUUUUGUUAUUUUAUUUAAGCUUUUUUUAAUAAUUUCUUUCAAAUAGUCGCACUAACAUCUAUAUUGUAUGUUUAACAGAAGAAAUAUGUUGAUGGCAAGAAAGCUCGGGACUCAAAGAUACUUCUCCACCAUUCUGGUUCGAAGCCCUUUUCGUAUAGGGUUGAGGCACGACGUGAGGAGGGUUCUAAGUUCCCACAGAUUGACUUGUUCAAGCAUGUUUAUGUUCAUCCCAACAAUGAGAACAGUGACCAACUUUAUGGUGAUAUGGUGGAAAAGAGCACUGCUAUUCUCCAAGAAGCAACAUCGCAGCUUUCCCCAGAGACCCCGAUCGAGGACGUCAUUGUACCCAAGGAUGCAGAUGUUCAGAUCAUGACUGAGGUUCUGGAUCAGAAGUGUGGUCGUUGUCAUGGUAAGGUUGUUCGGUGUACGGGGAAGGCGGGGGUUCGUGAAACGGGUGCCUCUUCUUCCAAAUUGUCCACAGGAAAGGUCAAUUCCUUGAAGGAGGAAGUGACAACCCUAAGAGGUCAGGUUGCGGCCUAGGGCGACCAUAUUAAGGCCCAGGACGAGAGGAUGAAUAUGAUUGUUCAGGCCUUAGCGAUGUCCGGCCUCCAAAUCCCGACGAUGCUAGCACCUAAUGUUGCUCCAGCUUCGACUUCCCAGCCAUUUCGCCCAGACGAUAUCGAGUAGCAUGAUGUAUUAAACUUAGAAGACUUGUAGUUUUUUAUUUUUUUGUUCGGACAAACGUACAUUUUCAUAUAUUCUAUAAUUAAUUACUUUUUCAUGGUUUA
Malus domestica (apple) is the source of this 1761-nucleotide RNA transcript. RefSeq lists it as uncharacterized. NCBI's taxonomy places the organism in Eukaryota, Viridiplantae, Streptophyta, Magnoliopsida, Rosales, Rosaceae. The record is from RefSeq and is a predicted model, not a curated record.